AUGCUCAGGCAUCUGGCGACCAGAUCAACAUGCCCAGUAUGUGGCCGAGAGGAGGAAGGUUUAUACCAUGCCCUGGUGGCGUGCUCUCAUGCUAGAAUGGUGUGGACCAGUAUGAGGGAGAGAUGGCCUCUCCCAGAUGACAAGUUGCUGGUGGAUAAUGGCAAGGAGUGGAUCCUACAUCUAUUAUCGAGUUGUUCUGAUGCUGUUCGUGACAUGAUUAUUAUGUUAUGCUGGCGUAUCUGGCAGCGAAGGAACGACCUCACUCAUGGCAUGGAAACCCCUCCAGUUCAUGUGACGGUCGAAUUUUUGGAUAGCUACUACAGAUCGGUGUGCCUGGCAGGCCGGUAUACUACAGAGGAAAUUCUCAAGGGGAAGAUGUCAUCUUCGGCUCUCCCAAGCAAGGCAGUGAAGACGGCGCUAGUAGCAGCGCCAUGGCCCAAACCACCACAAGGCCGGGUAGCACUCUCGGUUGAUGGUUCUUUUAGUGGUACCGACGGAUCAGCGGCAGCAGGUAUGGUAUUACAUGAUCAACAAUGGUCAUAUUAUCUUCUCGGCGUACCGCGUGAUCUUCUAUUGCAAUGA
Molecule: ribosomal RNA, 582 nt
Filed under: Triticum aestivum (bread wheat)
Lineage: Eukaryota; Viridiplantae; Streptophyta; Magnoliopsida; Poales; Poaceae
Description: partial small subunit ribosomal RNA
Source: RNAcentral